This 624-nucleotide ribosomal RNA is filed under the name uncultured bacterium. Its description in RNAcentral is "bacterial SSU rRNA". It matches the Rfam family "Bacterial small subunit ribosomal RNA", at positions 60 to 714 of the family's 1533-position model. The record is from RNAcentral.
AGUCGAGGGAGAAGCUAUCUUCGGAUAGUGGAGACCGGCAGACGGGUGAGUAACACGUGGGAACAUACCGAGUAGUGGGGGAUAACAGUUGGAAACGACUGCUAAUACCGCAUACGCCCUUCGGGGGAAAGAUUUAUCGCUAUUCGAUUGGCCCGCGUUAGAUUAGCUAGUUGGUAAGGUAACGGCUUACCAAGGCGACGAUCUAUAGCUGGUUUGAGAGGAUGAUCAGCCACACUGGGACUGAGACACGGCCCAGACUCCUACGGGAGGCAGCAGUGGGGAAUAUUGCGCAAUGGAGGAAACUCUGACGCAGCCAUGCCGCGUGAGUGAAGAAGGCCUUAGGGUUGUAAAGCUCUUUCAGACGUGAUGAUGAUGACAGUAGCGUCAAAAGAAGUUCCGGCUAACUUCGUGCCAGCAGCCGCGGUAAUACGAAGGGAACUAGCGUUGUUCGGAUUUACUGGGCGUAAAGAGCAUGUAGGCGGAUUUUGAACAGUGGGGGGGGAAAUCCCCAAAUUUCCUCCUUGGGACGGCCCUUCCAAAUUUUCCCCCUCUAGAGUCCGUAAGGGGGUGGUGGAAUUCCGAGUGUAGAGGUGAAAUUCGUAGAUAUUCGGAGGAACACCAGUG